Molecule: long non-coding RNA, 1012 nt
Organism: Girardinichthys multiradiatus
Lineage: Eukaryota; Metazoa; Chordata; Actinopteri; Cyprinodontiformes; Goodeidae
Exons: 3
Source: RefSeq, a predicted model, not a curated record
UGACAUUGAUCUUUUAUUCAUUAUUUUCUUGCUUACAAGCGUUCUCGUGCCCAGCUGUGAUACAGAGGCAAGGACAACAUGAAGUCCAAUAUGGUCUGUUUGCUGAUGAUUCUUUUUGCCAUUAGUGCCCAUACAACUAGGUGCCAUGGCAGGCACAGUUCUAGCAGUGAGUCGGGCAGUGAUGAGAAUAACAGGAAAGACUUGCAUAUACUUAUCUGCACUCUGUUUCCGGCUUUAUGCUCAAAAACAACUGCCACAACUGCCACAACUACAACUGCAACGACUACAACUGCUAGAACAACAGCAACCACAACCGGCCGAGGAGACAUUUAAACUACAGGCGCUUAAAUGAAUCCAACAUGAAGAACAUUUAGUAAGGGACACUGUAAAAUUGUUUUCCAGUAUGACGAUAGUAUUUUAUUUUGGUGAGGCCAAUGGCAAAAUCAAAUUUGAAUGGCUUAUAUAAAAAAUUUGAAUGUAUUAGUUUGAAAUAGUCCACCUUAUGUUGUUUGCUGUGCAUCCAUUCUAACUGCCAAAACCUGUAAAGCUGAGACUGGAGCUAAGUCAUGCAAAGCAUAAUAGAUUACUUAUGUUGAAGACUGCUUCCACCAAUGAGAAGACUCUGACAACACACUCAGUGCUCUCACACAUAAACAACCCCUGGAUGAUGACAGCUUAAGAAAAGGGAGGAGUGUAAGCUGCUAAAUACCAGUUUCUGCCCAGUCUGUCGUACUGCACUCCUGAAUCACCCUCUUGACCAAUACUUUGACCGUUCUGCUCUGCUGAUUCUUAUGUCUUUGACUGAAAUGUUAUGUUUUUCCCUAAUCAGUUUUGCUUUCAAUUUAAUUUGAUGUCUAAACAUCACAUUAUCAAACAUCCUUAUUUUGAAUGUAUCUUUUUUUCUAAACUCAUAUUUUUAAAUAUGACUGUGCACUGGCUGCUCUUUUCUGUGCUGUAAGUGAAGUUUGAUGGUUUAAUCACAUAUAGUUAAAUAAAAAUGUUUUCAAUGAUA